Molecule: ribosomal RNA, 497 nt
Filed under: uncultured Glomus
Lineage: Eukaryota; Fungi; Glomeromycota; Glomeromycetes; Glomerales; Glomeraceae
Description: SSU rRNA
Rfam family: Eukaryotic small subunit ribosomal RNA
Source: RNAcentral
AGCAGCCGCGGUAAUUCCAGCUCCAAUAGCGUAUAUUAAAGUUGUUGCAGUUAAAAAGCUCGUAGUUGAAUUUCGGGAUCAUCAGGUUGGUCGUGCCUCUGGUAUGUACUGGUCUCGGUGGUUCCUACUUCUUGAAGAACCGUAAUGCCAUUAAUUUGGUGUUGCGGGGAAACAGGACUGUUACUUUGAAAAAAUUAGAGUGUUUAAAGCAGGCAAUCGCUUGAAUACAUUAGCAUGGAAUAAUGAAAUAGGACGUUCGAUCCUAUUUUGUUGGUUUCUAGGAUUGACGUAAUGAUUAAUAGGGAUAGUUGGGGGCAUUAGUAUUCAAUUGUCAGAGGUGAAAUUCUUGGAUUUAUUGAAGACUAACUACUGCGAAAGCAUUUGCCAAGGAUGUUUUCAUUAAUCAAGAACGAAAGUUAGGGGAUCGAAGACGAUCAGAUACCGUCGUAGUCUUAACCAUAAACUAUGCCGACUAGGGAUCGGAUGAUGUUAAUUUU